This 64-nucleotide ribosomal RNA is filed under the name Vigna unguiculata (cowpea). RNAcentral's name for it is "partial large subunit ribosomal RNA". It matches the Rfam family "Eukaryotic large subunit ribosomal RNA", at positions 1 to 64 of the family's 3401-position model. Lineage: Eukaryota; Viridiplantae; Streptophyta; Magnoliopsida; Fabales; Fabaceae. The record is from RNAcentral.
AGACCUCAGGUCAGGCGGGGCUACCCGCUGAGUUUAAGCAUAUCAAUAAGCGGAGGAAAAGAAA